Long non-coding RNA from Oncorhynchus tshawytscha (Chinook salmon), 677 nucleotides. The record is from Ensembl. NCBI's taxonomy places the organism in Eukaryota, Metazoa, Chordata, Actinopteri, Salmoniformes, Salmonidae.
GGAGAAUGUCGGUAGGUCCAGAAUGUCUUUCCUUAUCAGGAUUGGACUUCCUCCCCGCCGCUCAAACUAUCCAGUCCUCCCGUGUUUCAUACACGCUUCCUGGAGGAUAACCACAGCCGUCCUACGGAGCAAGCAAGCCGGAGAGGUAUACUUAUCUAUGUGAAGGAACAUGAACAUGGACCCUUGAACUCAAGAAAUGACAACACCCCCCCGGCACAAUCUAGUAACAUUUUUUUAGUUUUUAUCUGUUUUGUUUGGUUUUCCAUCUCUGUCUUUGAUGGAAAACAACUAAUUAUGUGGCAUUUUUCAUUCAGAUGACACUUAGCAACGCGGUCCAUGUCCAAUUCUAUCUCACUACUGUAAAGCCUGCUUGUCUCUUGAAGAGUGAUAUUUAAAUUCUACCUUGACACACCUUUCUCCUGCCUCCACAUAUCUCUCAUUUCUGUGGAAGAUCGGGACGUUUGACGUCAGCACUUACCACACAAUAUUCCACUGCAAUCUAGUGCUAAUUAAAUUGCUAUAGCCUCCUUGCAAGACCAAGGUGUGUUCAUUUUUGUCUGAUUCAUAGUUAAGAUUUGUUGUAUUUUAUGUUAUUUAAACUCUUGUUUGACAUGUAGCCGUCAUUUCUAAGCUGCACUUUAUUGAUAAAUAUCAAGAUCAUUUCAAACUGUAAUUUA